Molecule: ribosomal RNA, 245 nt
Filed under: uncultured bacterium
Lineage: Bacteria
Description: partial 16S ribosomal RNA
Rfam family: Bacterial small subunit ribosomal RNA
Source: RNAcentral
GACAGAGGUGGCUAGCGUUGUUCGGAUUCAUUGGGUGUAAAGGGUGCGUAGGCGGCUUAGAAAGUCAGAUGUGAAAGCCCACAGCUCAACUGUGGAAUUGCAUCUGAAACUCCUAGGCUUGAGUGCGAGAGAGGUGAAGGGAAUUCCCGGUGUAAGGGUGAAAUCUGCAGAGAUCGGGAGGAACACCAGUAGCGAAGGCGCUUCACUAGCUCGUAACUGACGCUGAGUGCACGAAGGCGUGGGGA